CCUACGGGUGGCAGCAGUGAGGAAUAUUGGUCAAUGGGCGCGAGCCUGAACCAGCCAAGUAGCGUGAAGGAUGAAUGCCCUACGGGUUGUAAACCUCUUUUAUAAAGGAAUAAAGUGAGGCACGCGUGCCGUUUUGUAUGUACUUUAUGAAUAAGGAUCGGCUAACUCCGUGCCAGCAGCCGCGGUAAUACGGAGGAUCCGAGCGUUAUCCGGAUUUAUUGGGUUUAAAGGGAGCGUAGAGGGGUUGUUAAGUCAGUUGUGAAAGUUUGCGGCUCAACCGUAAAAUUGCAAUUGAUACUGGCAGCCUUGAGUGCAGUUGAGGUAGGCGGAAUGCGUGGUGUAGCGGUGAAAUGCUUAGAUAUCGCGAAGAACUCCGAUUGCGAAGGCAGCUUACUAUGCUGCCACUGACAUUGAUGCACGAAAGUGUGGGUAUCGAACAGGAUUAGAUACCCCUGUAGUC
RNAcentral lists this ribosomal RNA (460 nucleotides) under uncultured bacterium. RNAcentral describes it as "partial 16S ribosomal RNA". It matches the Rfam family "Bacterial small subunit ribosomal RNA", at positions 338 to 795 of the family's 1533-position model. The record is from RNAcentral.